AGUGAACGCUGGCGGUAGGCCUAACACAUGCAAGUCGAACGGCAGCACAGUAAGAGCUUGCUCUUACGGGUGGCGAGUGGCGGACGGGUGAGGAAUACAUCGGAAUCUACUUUUUCGUGGGGGAUAACGUAGGGAAACUUACGCUAAUACCGCAUACGACCUACGGGUGAAAGCAGGGGAUCUUCGGACCUUGCGCGAUUGAAUGAGCCGAUGUCGGAUUAGCUGGUUGGCGGGGUAAAGGCCCACCAAGGCGACGAUCCGUAGCUGGUCUGAGAGGAUGAUCAGCCACACUAGAACUGAGACACGGUCCAGACUCCUACGGGAGGCAGCAGUGGGGAAUAUUGGACAAAGGGCGCAAGCCUGAUCCAGCCAUACCGCGUGGGUGAAGAAGGCCUUCGGGUUGUAAAGCCCUUUUGUUGGGAAAGAAAAGCAGCAGGUUAAUACCCCGCUGUUCCGACGGUACCCAAAGAAUAAGCACCGGCUAACUUCGUG
This 492-nucleotide ribosomal RNA is filed under the name uncultured bacterium. Its description in RNAcentral is "partial 16S ribosomal RNA". It matches the Rfam family "Bacterial small subunit ribosomal RNA", at positions 29 to 507 of the family's 1533-position model. The record is from RNAcentral.